This 253-nucleotide ribosomal RNA is filed under the name uncultured bacterium. RNAcentral's name for it is "partial 16S ribosomal RNA". It matches the Rfam family "Bacterial small subunit ribosomal RNA", at positions 524 to 776 of the family's 1533-position model. The record is from RNAcentral.
UACGUAGGGCGCAAGCGUUAUCCGGAAUUAUUGGGCGUAAAGAGCUCGUAGGCGGCUUGUCGCGUCGACCGUGAAAACUUGGGGCUCAACCCCAAGCCUGCGGUCGAUACGGGCAGGCUCGAGUUCGGUAGGGGAGACUGGAAUUCCUGGUGUAGCGGUGAAAUGCGCAGAUAUCAGGAGGAACACCGGUGGCGAAGGCGGGUCUCUGGGCCGAUACUGACGCUGAGGAGCGAAAGCGUGGGGAGCGAACAGG